Molecule: ribosomal RNA, 497 nt
Filed under: uncultured bacterium
Lineage: Bacteria
Description: partial 16S ribosomal RNA
Rfam family: Bacterial small subunit ribosomal RNA
Source: RNAcentral
GAUGAACGCUGGCGGCGUGCCUAAUACAUGCAAGUCGAGCGAACAGACGAGGAGCUUGCUCCUCUGACGUUAGCGGCGGACGGGUGAGUAACACGUGGAUAACCUACCUAUAAGACUGGGAUAUCUUCGGGACACCGGAGCUAAUACCGGAUAAUAUAUUGAACCGCAUGGUUCAAUAGUGAAAGACGGUUUUGCUGUCACUUCUAGAUGGAUCCGCGCCGCAUUAGCUAGUUGGUAAGGUAACGGCUUACCAAGGCAACGAUGCGUAGCCGACCUGAGAGGGUGAUCGGCCACACGGGAACUGGGACACGGUCCAGGCGCCUACGGGAGGCAGCAGUAGGGAAUCUUACGCAAUGGGCGAAAGCCUGACGGAGCAACGCCGCGUGAGUGAUGAAGGUCUUCGGAUCGUAAUACUCUGUUAUUAGGGAAGAACAAAUGUGUAAGUAACUAUGCACUGCUUGACGGUACCUAAUCAGAAAGCCACGGCUAACUACGUG